Molecule: non-coding RNA, 239 nt
Organism: Ictidomys tridecemlineatus (thirteen-lined ground squirrel)
Lineage: Eukaryota; Metazoa; Chordata; Mammalia; Rodentia; Sciuridae
Source: RefSeq, a predicted model, not a curated record
GGAGGGGUGGCCUGGCUGGAUGUUGUCAGUGGUAGGCCCUGGGUUCAGUCCCCAGUACCACAAGAGGCUUGAGUGGCCGAAGGCACACUAGAAGAUUCAGGUAAUUGGAAUUAAAAAUGUCAAAGUAACUUCUUAGAAGACAUGAAGAGGGGAAAAGGAGACAUAACUGGCACUAUCACCCAAAUAAAGUAACCAGAGUUAAAAUCGCCAGUCAUGAGACACAUUUGCCAAUAAGAAUA